Molecule: ribosomal RNA, 502 nt
Filed under: uncultured delta proteobacterium
Lineage: Bacteria; Deltaproteobacteria
Description: bacterial SSU rRNA
Rfam family: Bacterial small subunit ribosomal RNA
Source: RNAcentral
CAGAACUAACGCUGGCGGCGUGCCUAACACAUGCAAGUCGAACGAGAAAGCCGCAAGGUGAGUAAAGUGGCGGACGGGUGCGUAACACGUGGGUAAUCUACCUAUUGGCUUGGAUAACAGUCCGAAAGGAUUGCUAAUACCGGAUAAGACCACAGCUCUGCGGAGUGGUGGUAAAAGGCGCUCGCAAGGGUGCCACCGAUUGAUGAGCCCGCGGCCUAUCAGCUAGUUGGCGGGGGUACGGCCCACCAAGGCUACGACGGGUAACUGGUCUGAGAGGACGACCAGUCACACUGGAACUGAGACACGGUCCAGACUCCUACGGGAGGCAGCAGUGGGGAAUAUUGCGCAAUGACGAAAGUCUGACGCAGCAACGCCGCGUGGGUGAUGAAGGCCUUCGGGUUGUAAAGCCCUGUCGCCCGGGACGAACAAGUCGUCUAACUAACGACUCUGACGGUACCGGGAGAGGAAGCACCGGCUAACUCUGUGCCAGCAGCCGCGGUAA